This 346-nucleotide long non-coding RNA is filed under the name Hordeum vulgare. RNAcentral's name for it is "long non-coding RNA (HVUL_LNC003652)". The record is from RNAcentral. Lineage: Eukaryota; Viridiplantae; Streptophyta; Magnoliopsida; Poales; Poaceae.
UCCGUGAGUGCCUCCAGCUGCUCGUUCUAUACUCGCUUUAUAGUAGACAGAAGACUAUAUAAUGAUGAUUUUACGCCUGAUCUGAUGGAUGAUUUGGGUGUGUGUGUGUCAGCCGGCACGGACAACUCGGACGAGGCAAGGGACUUCGACCUGCCCCUGAAGAACCGGUUCUACCUGCAGCCGCUGCCACCGGCGCAGGCGGCGGUCCGGGCCCAGGACAUCCUCAACCUCAAGCCGCUCAUCGACAAGAAGCAAUGGCCGUACGUCAUGAACGACCUCCGCCUCAGGGCCUCCUACCUGCGCUACGACCUCAAGACCGUCAUCUCCUCCAAGACCACCAAGGAGG